GACGAACGCUGGCGGCGUGCUUAACACAUGCAAGUCACGGGGGUCUCGGGGCAACUCGGGAUAACCGGCGAACGGGUGCGUAACACGUAAGCGACCUGCCGAUUCGCGGGGGGAUAGCCGGCCCAACGGCCGGGUAAUACCGCAUACGCUUGCUGGGUUUCAUGGCCGGGCAAGGAAACCUCCGGGGAACCGGGUGGGGCGGAUCGAGGGGCUUGCGGCCUAUCAGCUAGUUGGUGAGGUAACGGCUCACCAAGGCGGUGACGGGUAGCUGGUCUGAGAGGAUGGCCAGCCACAUUGGGACUGAGAGACGGCCCAGACUCCUACGGGAGGCAGCAGUGGGGAAUCUUGCGCAAUGGGCGAAAGCCUGACGCAGCGACGCCGCGUGGGGAUGACGCAUUUCGGUGUGUAAACCCCUGUUGCCCGGGACGAAUCGCCUUUUCGUAGAGGUUUGACGGGUACCGGGUGAGGAAGCACCGGCUAACUCUGUGCCAGCA
Molecule: ribosomal RNA, 494 nt
Filed under: uncultured bacterium
Lineage: Bacteria
Description: bacterial SSU rRNA
Rfam family: Bacterial small subunit ribosomal RNA
Source: RNAcentral